RNAcentral lists this ribosomal RNA (493 nucleotides) under uncultured bacterium. RNAcentral's name for it is "partial 16S ribosomal RNA". It matches the Rfam family "Bacterial small subunit ribosomal RNA", at positions 28 to 506 of the family's 1533-position model. The record is from RNAcentral.
GACGAACGCUGGCGGCGUGCUUAACACAUGCAAGUCGAACGGAAAGGCCUGCUUUCCCUUGUGGAUUGCGGGUACUCGAGUGGCGAACGGGUGAGUAACACGUGAGUGAUCUGCCCCCAACUUGGGUAUAAGCCUGGGAAACUGGGUCUAAUUCCCGAUAGGACUGCAGGGUGGUGCCUGUGGUGGAAAACGAUUUUCUAGUGGUUGGGGAUGAGCUGGCGGCCUAGCAGCGUGUUGGUGGGGUAACGGACUACCAAGGCGGCGACGGGUAGCCGGCGUGGGACGGUGGACGGCCACAUUGGACCUGAGCUACGGCCCGGCGGCCGCCGGCAGUGGGCAGUGGGGGAUAUUGGGCGAUGGCCGGAAGCAUGAUGGCGCGGUGUGGCGUGGGGGAUCACGGCCUUCGGGUUGUAAGAUCUUGUGGGCAGCGAGAAUGCCACCUGGUUGGACGGGUGGUGCGGGUAGUAGUAGAAGAGGCACCGCCUACCUCCGU